ACGUACGCUGGCGGCACGCCUAACACAUGCAAGUCGAACGAAGUAGCAAUACUUAGUGGCAGACGGGUGAGUAACAUGUAGGUAUCUGCCCUUUGGCCUGGAAUAACACGAGGAAACUUGUGCUAAUACCGGAUAAGUCUUUACGGAGAAAGCUUUAUGCACCAUUGGAUGAGCCUGCACUUGAUUAGUUUGUUGGUGGGGUAAUGGCCUACCAAGACUGUGAUCAAUAGCUGAUUUGAGAGGAUGAUCAGCCACAUUGGGACUGAGACACGGCCCAAACUCCUACGGGAGGCAGCAGUGGGGAAUCUUGCACAAUGGAGGAAACUCUGAUGCAGCGAUGCCGCGUGAGUGAAGAAGGCCUUUGGGUUGUAAAGCUCUUUCGUCGGGGAAGAAAAUGACUGUACCCGAAUAAGAAGGUCCGGCUAACUUCGUGCCAGCAGCCGCGGUAAUACGAAGGGACCUAGCGUAGUUCGGAUUUACUGGGCUUAAAGAGUUCGUAGGUUGUUGAAAAAGUUGGUGGUGAAAUCCCAGAGCUUAACUCUGGAACUGCCAUCAAAACUUUUCAGCUAGAGUAUGAUAGAGGAAAGCAGAAUUUCUAGUGUAGAGGUGAAAUUCGUAGAUAUUAGAAAGAAUACCAAUUGCGAAGGCAGCUCUCCGGAUCAUUACUGACACUGA
RNAcentral lists this ribosomal RNA (675 nucleotides) under alpha proteobacterium IMCC14216. RNAcentral's name for it is "bacterial SSU rRNA". It matches the Rfam family "Bacterial small subunit ribosomal RNA", at positions 29 to 749 of the family's 1533-position model. The record is from RNAcentral. Lineage: Bacteria; Pseudomonadati; Pseudomonadota; Alphaproteobacteria.